RNAcentral lists this ribosomal RNA (252 nucleotides) under uncultured bacterium. Its description in RNAcentral is "partial 16S ribosomal RNA". It matches the Rfam family "Bacterial small subunit ribosomal RNA", at positions 524 to 776 of the family's 1533-position model. The record is from RNAcentral.
UACGGAGGAUGCAAGCGUUAUCCGGAAUGAUUGGGCGUAAAGCGUCCGCAGGUGGCAAUGUAAGUCUGCUGUCAAAGCGUCUGGCUCAACCAGAUAAAGGCAGUGGAAACUACAUAGCUAGAGUAAGGUAGGGGUAGAGGAAUUCCUGGUGUAGCGGUGAAAUGCGUAGAGAUCAGGAAGAACACCGGUGGCGAAAGCGCUCUGCUGGACCUUAACUGACACUGAGGGACGAAAGCUAGGGGAGCGAAUGGG